AGCGUCCUCAGUGAACCUGCUUUUGCAACCAGUCAAUGUCAACCCCGUGCUUCGGCCAAACAGGGACAAACCCACGCCGGAAAAUGUCUGUGAGAACAACCAACCAACAGCAGUCAAACUCAGGUAUUGAGUGACGGUCUCAUCAUCACAUGAAUUUUCUGUGUCUCGUGCUUAAAUGUGAGAGGAUCGAUUAACCCGUAUGUUCAUCGACCCUUUCGCAAGCGCUUUAUAUGCGCCUGUCUUUGCGCUUGGUGUUGGGGGCACAGACGGAAUAGGAUGCGAUCGAUCCCUCUCUCAGAGGAACUUUCAGGCCAGGAAGCACAAGGCUAGAACAUGAAUAAUAAUCACGGCGCGGGAAGAACCGUCCAAGGGCUACAGAGGAGGAAGGAAUAAGUGCCAACGGGGAGAGGAAGACAGAGAAGCACUUCAGGGUGGUGUUUGGGUGAGGUUUCAAUGAUGUAGCUGUGUUCUCCAGACAAAGAAAAGGGAGAGGGUAUCCCAGGGGCAGGGAAGAGAAUGGGCAAAACCCCCGGAGACCUGAAAGAGCGCACCGGCCUCAGCGAUGGUGAGGAGGACGGCAGACAUCAGCAUUCUCGGGAAGGCUGGAGGAGCAGGGAGGAGCCCGGUUGGGAAGGGUCCCCAAGGCUGUAGCCACCGGGCAGUUUGGUUUAAGCUCGUUCGACUCAGUCUUCUCCUUGAUAAUAUAGAAAUAAAGUAGAAUUACCUA
This is a long non-coding RNA of Acinonyx jubatus (cheetah), 727 nucleotides long. RefSeq lists it as uncharacterized. The transcript is spliced from 2 exons. NCBI's taxonomy places the organism in Eukaryota, Metazoa, Chordata, Mammalia, Carnivora, Felidae. The record is from RefSeq and is a predicted model, not a curated record.